Molecule: ribosomal RNA, 423 nt
Filed under: uncultured bacterium
Lineage: Bacteria
Description: bacterial SSU rRNA
Rfam family: Bacterial small subunit ribosomal RNA
Source: RNAcentral
UCUUCCGCAAUGGACGAAAGUCUGACGGAGCAAUGCCGCGUGAGUGAUGAAGUCUUUCGGGUCGUAAAACUCUGUUGUUAGGGAAGAACAAGUGCUAGUUGAAUAAGCUGGCACCUUGACGGUACCUAACAAGAAAGCUCCGGCGAACUACGUCCCAGCAGCCGCGGUAAUACGUAGGUGGCAAGCGUUAUCCGGAAUUAUUGGGCGUAAAGCGCGCGCAGGUGGUUUCUUAAGUCUGAUGUGAAAGCCCGCGGCUCAACCGUGGAGGGUCAUUGGAAACUGGGAGACUUGAGUGCAGAAGAGGAAAGUGGAAUUCCAUGUGUAGCGGUGAAAUGCGUAGAGAUAUGGAGGAACACCAGUGGCGAAGGCGACUUUCUGGUCUGUAACUGACACUGAGGCGCGAAAGCGUGGGGAGCAAACAGG